CAACACUUCUGCUCUUGCGCAGUUGUCAUCUUCGAGCCUUGCUCUCUCACCUGAGGAAGAGGUGUUCCAGUCCAAUAACGGAGAGCCAGAUACAAUGAAACGAGCUGCCGCCGCGAAAAGAAUCGAACGCUACUUCUAUCAGCUUACAGAUGGUUGUGGCAAUGAAAACUGCAGCAACAAAUUUUGUGCUUCUAGUGGAAAGUAAGUCUAAGGACCGUUAGAAUUUUUAGAAUUUAUUUAUUUAUCUAUCUAAAAAACAUAUUAACAGAAAUACAACUUCAGCACUAGGGACUAUCCCCACGCCUAUAAGUGUGGCGUAGUAAACAAAUAUGAUGUAAACUGCAAAAAAAAAAAAAAAUAUAUAUAUACAAGAAAAAGGACCAUAAAGGGACACUCCUAGACACUCCUUUCUUCUACAUGCUAAUGCAUUUAUAGAGUUUUCAAUCCAAUUGGACCUAAUGAUUUUUUUCCCUUAAUCUUGAGCACAGUCCAUCAUGUUUUAGCAGAAAAUGAAAACGUUUUUCUCUUUCUUUUCAGGCUCCAUCAUUGAAGCCAAACCAAGCUGCUGUUCUAGCCCUUGAAUUAUUCAAAGAAGACUCUCCUCUGUGCGAGUAUCACCCAGCAAAAAUUCCUAGAACUCAAGAGGCAGGAGACCUCACGCCUGAAUCAUUUGUCUCCUCACUAUCAAACGUUAUCGAGUCUGCCAGCUCCAGUGAGAAAAAAGUUCCUUCUGCUUCAAGUGAGCCUGAUGUCGGAGAAUCUUUGACUCCGACAACGUCCUCAAUACACCCACCACAAAGACACAAACCAAACAACUUCACCAUCUGUCUCUGACAAGGACUGCACCAAAAAAAAAUACUUGACUGAAAAAAUCCUUCAUGAUAUAUUGGAAACUUGCAAAGAAACAAAUUCAUACUCAGCCCUCCGAGUGUCAUUAUAUCAAGUUUUCUCUGAGCCAGAAUGUUUGUAUCAAAGCUUCUUGAAGUCUGAUUCUGAGCCAGCCAAAUCAGAACUGUACCCUAAUUUGAAGAAGGAAGAGGUUCGAGAGCUGGAAGGUGAAAUGGAGAAAGACCAGGACAGCGUGGCUGUCGGGAAAGGAGAAAUAGAAUCAUGUUCUGAUUAUUUAGCUGUUGAUAUUGCAUCAUUGAGACGAGCGUACAAGGAGCUAUCAUCUGUUCCUGCCUCUGAGUUUGAAGAUGCUAUCGUGUUUGCACUUUUGACCUUGGCAGGUAAUUUAGUUUCCUCUUAUGUUUUUGGAGUUAGACGGAAACUCAUUUAUCGUAAGGGAAAUUGAAUCGGGACUUGCGAAAACUGAUAAUGUCCAUUUUUCCAGUCUUCGGUUUUUUGAGUUGAUAAUACUUUUCGGAGUUGUUGCAACUAUGAAAGUGGCGUUAGUACUCUUCUCCAAAUUACCAUAAUCCCAAAAUGAGUCCUUUCAUCACUUUUAUGGUUGUAUCAACUCUUUAAAAGUAUUAUCAACUCCAAAAAACUGAAGACUGGAAAAACGGACAUCAUCGGUUUUCGCACGUCCCAAUUCAAUUGAUAUGAAUGUUUUUUUCCCUUGUUUUUGUAAAUGUGAAUGCCUC
RNAcentral lists this long non-coding RNA (1586 nucleotides) under Bemisia tabaci. Its description in RNAcentral is "lncRNA ENSSSA2NGG006412". Lineage: Eukaryota; Metazoa; Arthropoda; Insecta; Hemiptera; Aleyrodidae. The record is from RNAcentral.